This 71-nucleotide transfer RNA is filed under the name Marmota monax (woodchuck). Its description in RNAcentral is "tRNA.Ala". Lineage: Eukaryota; Metazoa; Chordata; Mammalia; Rodentia; Sciuridae. The record is from RNAcentral.
GGGGUUCUGGCUCAGUGGUAGAGCGCUUGCCUAGCACGUGUGAGGCGCUGAGUUUGAGCCUCAGCACCACA